RNAcentral lists this transfer RNA (63 nucleotides) under Chrysomelidae sp. SOIL MMG Contig15. Its description in RNAcentral is "tRNA-His". The record is from RNAcentral. Lineage: Eukaryota; Metazoa; Arthropoda; Insecta; Coleoptera; Chrysomelidae.
AUCUAAAUAGUUUACUGAAAAUAUUAACUUGUGGAGUUAAAGAAAUAUAAUAUAUUUUAGAUA